This 70-nucleotide transfer RNA is filed under the name Procolobus verus (olive colobus). RNAcentral describes it as "tRNA-Trp". Lineage: Eukaryota; Metazoa; Chordata; Mammalia; Primates; Cercopithecidae. The record is from RNAcentral.
AGAAACUUAGGUUAACAUAAGACCGAGGGCCUUCAAAGCCCCUAGCAAGUUAAAUUACACUUAGUUUCUG